AGUGAAUAGAUACCCUGGUAGUCCAGGGUGUAAACGCUGCGGGCUUGGUGUUGGGGGUCCUUUGAGGGCGCCCAGUGCCGGAGAGAAAGUUGUUAAGCCUGCUGCUUGGGGAGUACGUCCGCAAGGAUGAAACUUAAAGGAAUUGGCGGGGGAGCACCGCAACGGGAGGAGCGUGCGGUUCAAUUGGAUUCAACGCCGGACAACUCACCAGGAGCGACGGUUACAUGAAGGCCAGGCUGAUGACCUUGCCUGAUUUUCCGAGAGGUGGUGCAUGGCCGUCGUCAGUUCGUACCGUAAGGCGUUCUCUUAAGUGAGAUAACGAACGGGACCCUCACCGCUAAUUGCUAGUGUUCUCUCCGGAGGGCACGCACAUUAACGGGACCGCUGUCGCUAAGACAGAGGAAGGAGAGGUCAACGGUAGGUCCGUAUGCCCCGAAUCUCCUGGGCUACACGCGCGCUACAAAGGUUGGGACAAUGGGCUCCGACAUCGAAAGGUGAAGGCAAUCUGAAACCCAAUCGUAGUUCGGAUUGA
Molecule: ribosomal RNA, 532 nt
Filed under: uncultured bacterium
Lineage: Bacteria
Description: bacterial SSU rRNA
Rfam family: Archaeal small subunit ribosomal RNA
Source: RNAcentral